This 495-nucleotide ribosomal RNA is filed under the name uncultured bacterium. RNAcentral describes it as "bacterial SSU rRNA". It matches the Rfam family "Bacterial small subunit ribosomal RNA", at positions 28 to 482 of the family's 1533-position model. The record is from RNAcentral.
GACGAACGCUGGCGGCGUGCCUAAUACAUGCAAGUCGAACGCACUCUCGUUUAGAUUGAAGGAGCUUGCUCCUGAUUGAUAAACAUUUGAGUGAGUGGCGGACGGGUGAGUAACACGUGGGUAACCUGCCCUAAAGUGGGGGAUAACAUUUGGAAACAGAUGCUAAUACCGCAUAAAACCUAACACCGCAUGGUGUAGGGUGGAAAGAUGGUUUCGGCUAUCACUUUAGGAUGGACCCGCGGUGCAUUAGUUAGUUGGUGAGGUAAAGGCUCACCAAGACCGUGAUGCAUAGCCGACCUGAGAGGGUAAUCGGCCACACUGGGACUGAGACACGGCCCAGACUCCUACGGGAGGCAGCAGUAGGGAAUCUUCCACAAUGGACGAAAGUCUGAUGGAGCAACGCCGCGUGAGUGAAGAAGGUUUUCGGAUCGUAAAACUCUGUUGUUGGAGAAGAAUGUAUCUGAUAGUAACUGAUCAGGUAGUGACGGUAUCCAA